UUUUCAAUGGGAUCCACUAAUCACUACUUACCAAUUGGUUUCAGAUUGGUUAUCAAUUCGGUCUCUACUAUUUGAUGGCUGCCACUAACUUUCAAAGCUCAGCACCGGCUUUUUGCCUGAAGCAAAGGAAUUAAAAACAGAUGCGCAUUUAUGCAUCCGAUAGGAAAAGCACAUGUUAUUUAUAUGGCUUACAUGGAAACCCGAAUGCAAA
This is a non-coding RNA of Pelobates cultripes (western spadefoot toad), 211 nucleotides long. The record is from the annotation of a GenBank genome assembly. NCBI's taxonomy places the organism in Eukaryota, Metazoa, Chordata, Amphibia, Anura, Pelobatidae.